UAUCUUCGGAUAUGAGUAGAGCGGCGGACGGGUGAGUAACGCGUAGGAAUCUACCUAGUAGAAGGGGAUAGCCCGGGGAAACCCGGAUUAAUACCGUAUACCUCCUUCGGGAGAAAGAAGGCCUCUCUUUGAAGCUUUCGCUACUAGAUGAGCCUGCGUAAGAUUAGCUUGUUGGUGAGGUAAAAGCUCACCAAGGCGACGAUCUUUAGCUGGUCUGAGAGGACGAUCAGCCACAUUGGGACUGAGACACGGCCCAGACUCCUACGGGAGGCAGCAGUGGGGAAUAUUGGACAAUGGGCGCAAGCCUGAUCCAGCCAUACCGCGUGUGUGAAGAAGGCCUUCGGGUUGUAAAGCACUUUAAGCAGGGAGAAAAAGUUAUAAGUUAAUACCUUAUAACCCUGAUGUUACCUGCAGAAUAAGCACCGGCUAAUUCCGUGCCAGCAGCCGCGGUAAUACGGAAGGUGCAAGCGUUAAUCGGAAUUACUGGGCGUAAAGCGCGCGUAGGUGGUUUUG
Molecule: ribosomal RNA, 513 nt
Filed under: uncultured marine bacterium
Lineage: Bacteria
Description: bacterial SSU rRNA
Rfam family: Bacterial small subunit ribosomal RNA
Source: RNAcentral